This 253-nucleotide unclassified non-coding RNA is filed under the name uncultured Solirubrobacterales bacterium. Its description in RNAcentral is "contains 16S-23S intergenic spacer region". It matches the Rfam family "Bacterial small subunit ribosomal RNA", at positions 524 to 776 of the family's 1533-position model. The record is from RNAcentral. Lineage: Bacteria; Bacillati; Actinomycetota; Thermoleophilia; Solirubrobacterales.
UACGUAGGGGGCAAGCGUUGUCCGGAAUCAUUGGGCGUAAAGAGCGCGUAGGCGGCCCGGUAAGUCCGCUCUGAAAGUCAAAGGCUCAACCUUUGAAAGCGGGUGGAUACUGCCGGGCUAGAGUCCGGAAGAGGCGAGUGGAAUUCCUGGUGUAGCGGUGGAAUGCGCAGAUAUCAGGAGGAACACCAACGGCGAAGGCAGCUCGCUGGGACGGUACUGACGCUGAGGCGCGAAAGCGUGGGGAGCAAACAGG